UUAUUUAACAAAAAAAGAGGGGGAAUAGAUUAGGGCUAGUGCUCUUAUCCAUUUGGAAAAACAGAGAACGUAGAGUGCUAGUAUAUUCUAGUUCCUAAGGCUUCUCUUUCAUGUUUCUUCUUCUUUUCUACUAUAUUGUAAUCAUUAUUGAGAAGUUUUGGCUUGAAAAUAUUUUUUGGUUGUCAAGAGUCGAGCAUCAACAGUACCACUACGUGUUUUCCUUCCUUUAAUGGUAUCAUGAGAGAUUGAGGAUUUAUUUUAAUUAGGAUCAGGUAUGCGGAUAAGAAGACUUCCAUACUAGGCACUCAUCCCACAUUCUGCAAAGCCAUUGGGGAGCUUCUCUCUCAUCUGGAGAUAAUAGAGGUUUAAUACUCUUUAGUCGUAUUUGUAAUUAUAGUUUGGAUAUGUUAGGUGUUUCAUCCCAACUAGACUCCACUGUACGAAUACAAAUUCUAUUAAAGGCUUCGUAGACAGUGUUAAAUUGUC
Molecule: long non-coding RNA, 486 nt
Organism: Capsicum annuum
Lineage: Eukaryota; Viridiplantae; Streptophyta; Magnoliopsida; Solanales; Solanaceae
Exons: 2
Source: RefSeq, a predicted model, not a curated record